This 22-nucleotide non-coding RNA is filed under the name Arabidopsis thaliana (thale cress). Lineage: Eukaryota; Viridiplantae; Streptophyta; Magnoliopsida; Brassicales; Brassicaceae. The record is from RNAcentral.
AGGUGAUUGUGCUAUCUACUCA